This 743-nucleotide long non-coding RNA is filed under the name Nicotiana tabacum (common tobacco). Its description in RNAcentral is "long non-coding RNA (NTAB_LNC014472)". Lineage: Eukaryota; Viridiplantae; Streptophyta; Magnoliopsida; Solanales; Solanaceae. The record is from RNAcentral.
CACCAGCGACCAAACAACCACCACAACCGCUACCAGAGUCCGCCGAAAAAAGCUAUAAAUGGCGACCCCCACAUACACAAACAGUACUCAGAAACAGAGCAAAUACGAGGUUGUGUUGGGUUUCCGAUUUACACCUCUUCUAAGCUGAUUUUCCAUUUUAGCUUUUCGAUAUGUAAAAGAAAUUUUACCUUACAUCUUAGUAAUAGUUUCAGAGAUUAGGAAUUUUUGGUUUUUUCAUUCAAUUUUCAAUUGUCUUCAACUCCAAAUACUAAAAAAAUAAAAAUCAAUGAUUUCCUUUCCAAUGUCGAAUUUCACUGUGAUUAUGGGUUUUGUUUGAGUACCAGAUUCGAUUUUGGAAUUCAAAGCUCUUCCAGUCGCCGUUCAUGAGUUCCGAUGCUGAUUCGUUGUUGGUUUACUGUCAACGGUUCCGAUUCUUAAGUCCAAUUUCGGGUCUAAAUUUCGCUGUUGAGAUGGAGUUGGUUUAUGUCGAUGUUCCGGUUGCGAUUUGUGUUUCUGCUGAUUUUUUCCGGUUGAUACUCGAUUUUUAUUGCUGAAUGUUAUCGCUCUUCAUUUGGACAAAACUGUAAGCCCGAAGUUCCUCUAAUCUGGAAGAAACUAUCGCCAUUGAGGUCCAUUUCUCCUUGUUUUACUAUGUCGGCUUAAUUUCAUGAUUUUGGUAAUCUUGUGAAUAUAUUUUGCUCUGUUUUGGUUGAAUGUUGAUUUAAUUCUCUGCUGCUCCAUUC